This 253-nucleotide ribosomal RNA is filed under the name uncultured bacterium. Its description in RNAcentral is "partial 16S ribosomal RNA". It matches the Rfam family "Bacterial small subunit ribosomal RNA", at positions 524 to 776 of the family's 1533-position model. The record is from RNAcentral.
AACGUAGGUGGCAAGCGUUAUCCGGAAUUACUGGGCGUAAAGGGUGCGUAGGCGGGUUUUUAAGUCAGGGGUGAAAUCCUGGAGCUCAACUCCAGAACUGCCUUUGAUACUGAAGAUCUUGAGUUCGGGAGAGGUGAGUGGAACUGCGAGUGUAGAGGUGAAAUUCGUAGAUAUUCGCAAGAACACCAGUGGCGAAGGCGGCUCACUGGCCCGAUACUGACGCUGAGGCACGAAAGCGUGGGGAGCAAACAGG